UGAACUCUCUCCAAUUGCCCAUGCAAUUUACGUCCACCUUUCCCAUGCCAUGACAUGCAAGCCUCACGUAAACCAUGCCAUGCAAUUCCCUCAAGUGAUGUCUUCAUGUCCCAUGCAAGAUCACGUCCACUUAAAGGAACCCCUAUGCAAAGCAAUCCUCUCAAGGCUUCACGUGAAGUCCUUCCAUGCAUGUCCCAUGCAAAGUGACAAUUUUCAUGCGCACCAAUUCACGUCCCAAUUUCCUUAGCAAUUUCAUGCAUACCACUGAACCUCAAAUGGGCAGCCAACAACACCAAAAUCAUUUGGACUUCUCGGGGCAAAAUAAAAUGGGGUGACACUCUCCCCCA
RNAcentral lists this unclassified non-coding RNA (347 nucleotides) under Hevea brasiliensis (rubber tree). The record is from RNAcentral. Lineage: Eukaryota; Viridiplantae; Streptophyta; Magnoliopsida; Malpighiales; Euphorbiaceae.